RNAcentral lists this ribosomal RNA (499 nucleotides) under uncultured bacterium. RNAcentral describes it as "partial 16S ribosomal RNA". It matches the Rfam family "Bacterial small subunit ribosomal RNA", at positions 28 to 507 of the family's 1533-position model. The record is from RNAcentral.
GACGAACGCUGGCGGCGUGCCUAAUACAUGCAAGUCGAGCGAAGUUUUUCUGGUGCUUGCACUAGAAAAACUUAGCGGCGAACGGGUGAGUAACACGUAAAGAACCUGCCUCAUAGACUGGGACAACUAUUGGAAACGAUAGCUAAUACCGGAUAACAGCAUUAACUGCAUGGUUGAUGUUUAAAAGUUGGUUUUGGUAACACUAUGAGAUGGCUUUGCGGUGCAUUAGCUAGUUGGUGGGGUAAAGGCCUACCAAGGCGACGAUGCAUAGCCGACCUGAGAGGGUGAUCGGCCACACUGGGACUGAGACACGGCCCAGACUCCUACGGGAGGCAGCAGUAGGGAAUCUUCCGCAAUGGGCGAAAGCCUGACGGAGCAACGCCGCGUGAGUGAAGAAGGAUUUCGGUUCGUAAAGCUCUGUUGUUAGGGAAGAAUGAUUGUGUAGUAACUAUACACAGUAGAGACGGUACCUAACCAGAAAGCCACGGCUAACUACGUG